GUCGAGAAUCUUUCACAAUGGGGGCAACCCUGAUGGAGCGACGCCGCGUGGAGGAUAAGGUCUUCGGAUUGUAAACUCCUGUCAUGCGUGAACAAGGUUGCUUGGUUAAUACCUGGGCAAAUUGAUGGUAACGCAAGAGGAAGAGACGGCUAACUCUGUGCCAGCAGCCGCGGUAAUACAGAGGUCUCAAGCGUUGUUCGGAAUCACUGGGCGCAAAGGGUGCGUAGGUGGCGUGGUAAGUCAGAUGUGAAAGCCCGGGGCUCAACCUCGGAACUGCAUCCGAUACUGCCAUGCUAGAGGACUGGAGAGGUGACGAGAAUUCUCGGUGUAGCAGUGAAAUGCGUAGAUAUCGAGAGGAAUACCAAAGGCGUAGGCAGGUCACUGGACAGUUACUGACACUGAGGCACGAAGGCCAGGGGAGCGAACGGGAUUAGAAACCCGUGUAGUCC
This 449-nucleotide ribosomal RNA is filed under the name uncultured bacterium. Its description in RNAcentral is "partial 16S ribosomal RNA". It matches the Rfam family "Bacterial small subunit ribosomal RNA", at positions 354 to 796 of the family's 1533-position model. The record is from RNAcentral.